This is an RNA transcript of Gorilla gorilla gorilla (western lowland gorilla), 2993 nucleotides long. It is a transcript of the gene named FA complementation group L, with no coding region annotated. The record is from RefSeq and is a predicted model, not a curated record. The transcript has 15 exons. NCBI's taxonomy places the organism in Eukaryota, Metazoa, Chordata, Mammalia, Primates, Hominidae.
CUGCGCAUGUGCAGGACCCAGCAGGUCUAGAUCUUUUCUGUGUCUCUCCGGACUUCGAGCCAUGGCGGUGACGGAAGCGAGCCUGUUGCGCCAGUGCCCCCUGCUUCUGCCCCAGAACCGGUCGAAAACCGUGUAUGAGGGAUUCAUCUCGGCUCAGGGAAGAGACUUCCACCUUAGGAUAGUGUUGCCUGAAGAUUUACAACUGAAGAAUGCAAGAUUAUUAUGUAGUUGGCAGCUGAGAACAAUACUUAGUGGAUACCAUCGAAUAGUACAACAGAGAAUGCAGCACUCUCCUGAUCUAAUGAGCUUUAUGAUGGAGUUGAAGAUGCUUUUGUUGAAAAUCUUCUGUAGAGAACUUCUCAUCAGUUGUUUGGUUAAUUUGAGGUACAGCUUAUACUGGAGAGACUGGGAAGUUGCCUUAAAGAAUAGACAAGAGCUGUAUGCACUACCUCCUCCUCCCCAGUUCUACUCAAGCCUUAUUGAAGAGAUAGGAACUCUUGGUUGGGAUAAACUUGUGUAUGCGGAUACCUGCUUCAGUACCAUCAAGUUAAAAGCAGAAGAUGCUUCUGGUAGAGAGCAUUUAAUCACUCUCAAGUUGAAGGCAAAGUAUCCUGCAGAAUCACCAGAUUAUUUUGUGGAUUUUCCUGUUCCAUUUUGUGCCUCCUGGACACCUCAGGUAAAUUCUCCUCAGAGCUCCUUAAUAAGCAUUUAUAGUCAGUUUUUGGCAGCAAUAGAAUCACUAAAGGCAUUCUGGGAUGUUAUGGAUGAAAUCGAUGAGAAGACCUGGGUACUUGAGCCAGAAAAACCUCCACGGAGUGCAGCAGCACGCAGAAUUGCAUUAGGGAAUAAUGUUUCCAUAAAUAUAGAGGUAGACCCCAGGCAUCCUACUAUGCUUCCUGAGUGCUUCUUUCUUGGAGCUGACCAUGUGGUAAAACCCCUGGGAAUUAAGCUGAGCAGGAACAUACAUUUGUGGGAUCCAGAAAAUAGUGUGUUACAAAAUUUGAAAGAUGUUUUAGAAAUUGAUUUUCCAGCUCGUGCUAUCCUGGAAAAAUCUGAUUUUACUAUGGAUUGUGGAAUUUGUUAUGCUUAUCAACUUGACGGUACAAUUCCUGAUCAAGUGUGUGAUAAUUCCCAGUGUGGACAACCUUUCCAUCAAAUAUGCUUAUAUGAGUUACUAAUGAGUGGAGAAAUGUUCUGAAGUAUCCAAGAAGGGAGAAAAUCUAUCCAGAAUAUAUUCAUGGACUAGCUUAUUGACACACAACAAAUUAAAUUGAUGGUACAUUGGUAUCUUUCUGUAAAUUCCUUGUUACCACAAUGUAAGCUUCAUAGAUUUACCCAAGGUGGAGGUGGUUGAAAGUGGCAGUAAUACAGUGAAAAUGAAAUUAGUACUAUGUAGUAUCUAUUACUUUUCAGGCUGCAUUUAAGAAUAGAAUAUAUCCAAUACUACUACUUUUCAUGUUGAGAAGAAUGCCUUUUGUGAUCUGAGUCUCACAGCACUCAGGCAAUGCAACUUUACUUACUGUAUGUGAAGUCUACUUUCAUUCCUGUCUUUAGUGCUUGGCUUCACCUUAGGGCCUAGUUGAUACAUGAUAAACUGUGUGUAACUAUAUACAGAACACCUUGCAAUUGUAUGUUGCCUUCGGUUUCAGUCUUCCUUAAUAUCACAUCUUUACUUUUGUGAUUAGAGGUAGCAGUUGGUGCCGUCUGUACUUUGCCAAUGGAGAACUUAGGCAGAGGCAUCUGUUUACCUUAUAUAAAAUCAUGAAAUUACAGAAAUACAGGUCAAAUUACAGAAAUACUCUAAGGGAACAUGUGAUUUCUUUUGUAAUUAUGAAUAUUCAUUUAAUUUUUAAAAAUUCACUGGCUCAUGCUUAUAAUCAAUGGGUUGAAAAUUAACCCACUGUUAGUGAUUAAGACCAGAACUAAGAGGGAAAUUUUCAAGAGCCUAUAGUAUCUUUAACAGCAGGAGUUGUUAAUUUGUGAUUAAUGGAUUUAGGGAAACUCUAUGAAUGCCAGGAACUUAGUAUGCAUUAUUUUUAUGUAUGUCUAUUCUGGGGAUAAAGAAAAUGCGUAAUUCUUAUCAGAUUCUUAAAGGGGCCCAUAAUGUGGUUAUAAACCAGUGGUUUAGGCCUUCAAUUCCAUGUUGAUUUCCCUUGUUACUCAACAUCUUAAUAGUCUGCUAUUGGCUCAGGAAAUACAUCCCUUACUCUUGCAAAACAAAAUUAACCUAAGUCUUCUGGAAUAAAAACAUAAUGCACUUAAAAACAAAGGGAAUGACAUUUGGAGUAUCUGUAAUUUGUAAUCAUGCUGACGCUUCUCCUUUAUCUUUUAAAAUUUGCAGUGGCUGAGAGGACUACUAACUAGUAGACAGAGUUUUAACAUCAUAUUUGGUGAAUGUCCAUAUUGUAGUAAGCCAAUUACCUUAAAAAUGUCUGGAAGGAAACACUGAAAUAAGAAUAUAACAUUUUGAUGAAGAGCUGGAAACUUAAAAAAUUAUCAAAAGGAAUUUUGGUAUCUUCAGAGAAAAAAUAAUUUGGUAUCUUCAGAGAAAAAAUAAAGCAAGAAAUACUAACAUCAAAAGGACAGGUAUGAUGAUGCGAUAAUAAUAAACAUCUGCGUUUGUCUCUUCACUAAGAGUAAACUGGGAAAUUGUAGGCCAAAGUCCAGUUGAACUUUCUAAGUCUGUGAUCCCCGUGCUGACUGUGGAAGUGUAUUUAUACCAAGAUGGAGAUCUUGACUUCUUGAAUAUAUCUGGACUGAUAAAAUCUUGAUGAGGUUCAUAAAAUGAGUUUGGGAAUUGUGUAUAGCUGAUUUUUUGUGGGAAACUGUUUACUUCAUUCAAAGGUUCUUGAGACUCUUGAUAUUUCUGUCUUCUCCUUGUGCUUCCCUAUGGAAAAAAUACAUAUAUAGUUUAGUUUGUUAGAUGUGAGUUAUCCAAGUAUUUAUUUUGUGUAGUGUGUAAGAAUGCUAAAUAAAAUGUUAUACAAGAUCAA